UUGGUUUCUAUUCUUACGGGUUGUUCUGUCGAGAGGGCUGGAUAAUCUAGUGAUUAAUUUUGUACUGAUAUAGUGUGACUGGAGUAAUAUGCUGCUCAGAAUGGUUGCUUUCCUAGAAUGCACAGUUUUGAUCAGUUACCUGAGAAGGCAAACACUUCUCAUUGAAGUUCUUAAACCUUGCCUUUAGUGCGAUGAUAGAUUAUCUAUAGGCUUCACUAACAUUGUUUACAAGUGGCUGUAUUGAGUGCUCAAAACUUAUCAAGUGGCAAUGCUUGAAAACAUAUACCUUGUCUAUAGCAGGUCUACUUGCGGUAACAGUCAAAUAAAUGACACUAGUGAAUCUCCUUUUUACUGUCUCCCCUUAUGUGCUGUCUACACUUUCGAGUUUCAUCAACUUCCAUGAUUGUGAUAGAACUUCAUAAGAAAUUUCAAUUUUUAAACUUUUUCCACUUUUCACCAAAAAGAAAGAAUCUUGAGUUCAUGAUGUCAUCAAUUUUGGUUGGUAAUCAGCAUAUGCUAUUUUAGAUUUUGAUACUUUUUUUGGAUUGGAACUUUUGAUACAUGAAUAAGCAUGUGGUGAUAUAUAGUGCACUGAUACUAUAUCUACCACUUCCUUCUGCAUCCAAACAUGUUUUGGCGUGCGCUCAUAUGUUUUCUUGCUUCUUAUAUGUUGCUGAGAAUUUAACUCAUUGAAAGGAUGAAUUGUAUGAAUGAAUGCUGGAAGAGUGGGAGGGAAGGGUGAAUGUUGGCAUGUCCAGCAAAGUUACAACUUCGAUUUGAGAAAGUGUACGGGAUAUGGCUAUUGGCAAAAUUAAAAGUCAUGAGAAAGCUGACCAUGUAACUGUCGAGCAGGUAAAGUACAUUUUCAUCAAAAGAUUGAUCAACGUUAUACAGAGCGUUUGGUAAAUAUUUCGAUGAAAAUUCUCCAUGCUGCCGUUGUAACAACAGCCACAAUACGGUCUCUUUGUACUAAGUGUAAUCUGCUGCUUGGAUUUUUCUCAAGACAAUAUAUCCCCUGUAAAUAUGUGUCCAUCUUAAAGAUCUAUUAGAAUUUUCAGUCAGUUUCUUAUUGGCCUCCUUCCUUUUGCUUUGCACCUCUAUCCCAGGGUGAAAUCUUCUGUACUCGGCAAGAAGCACGAGCGGAAUUAAUUUUCAGAAUCUAUCAUUCUUCAUGGAUAUAGGAAAACAAACUAUAGUUACUUUUAUUUUAUCAUCAAUAGUUUUGAAGUUGAAACGAACCCUAUUGCAAGCUUAAUCUGUCUCUUUGCUAAAUCAAUAUUUCGGUUUGACUGAAUCAUAGCUGAGUAAACUGUAUGAUGUUCGGCCAAAAAAAAAAAUGUUUGAUGGGUGUAUGCAUUGGUUCAUGUCCCCUCUUGCAAUAAUUAUUCAGAAGUAAGACCACUUCUAAAAGUUAUUGCGAUUGCAGUGCCCCAUCCCACUCCUAAAAGUUACUGAAGUGAUACUAGCAUCUCCGAGAAGUUCUCAUGGAUAUGGUUGUGCAGGCUAUUGAUCAGAAGACUCGGAUGGUUCUCUUCAAGAUGCUCAACCAUCAAGUAUUAUCUACAAUCAGCAGUACUCGCUACUUUCUUUUUUUCUAUCAAUUGUUUGUAGGUGGAACUUUUCCACAUCAUUGUUAUAAUUUCAAGAUUUCACUUGUGAUGUAUACUUUUGCUACUACUGCAUAGUCACUGGACCCUUUUGUCACUUUGACUUUUGUUAAGCAAAUGUCUAUCUUGCAACAUAAUCUGACGAGCAAGAAUUGGCAAUCAAAGUCUACAAGACUUCAGUGCUGGUGUUCAAUCAUAUAUACCGAAGACACUAGAUUCGGUGAAAAAUGUGGAAGAGGACGUGAUUUGGAUAACAAGUGGGAAGGACACUGGAGAGAUCUAUUACAAGAAUAUUCCCCGGUUACAUAAGGCUCUCACGAAGGAGGGCGCUAAUGCUAUAGAAAAGCCGACCGAUCCUGGCAACAAUACUAAAGCUGGCGGUAGCAAGUCCAAGUCUGAUACAGAUGUAGAUGAAGAUUCAGAAGGAAAUGAGUCGGCUUCCGAAACUGAGGUGCAGGCUCCUGUUGACAAGAAGGCUGCUAGGAAGGACAAGCAAAAGAAGGUCAAAGAGGAAAAAAGGGAGGCGAGGAAAAACAAAGUCCCCAAGGCUGUGAAGAAAAGAAGGGAGAAGUUGGCCAAAGCCCAAGAGACUAGGUAGUCCUGGGUAGCUGUGGUAUUAAUAUACGUGUGUUUUGGCAUUUGCCAAUAGAGAGAGUGAGUCACCUGUUGGAUAAGUUAAUUUACCAGAUGCGGAGAUGGCUUUGCACUUUUCUGCAGUAGCCCAGUUUUAGCUGAGAGUAAAGCGAGAGGGAUGAGUUUAUGUUGUCUUGUAUUGUGUCUGGGUAUCAUUAUAAGAUGAUGUCGGUAUAUGCUUCCAAGGCAAAUUGUAUAGCAGCUUCUGUUUUUUGUUUUUUUUGUUUUUCCGCUAGUUAUUAUAAAGAAGGAGGUCUUGGUAGGAGCUGUCUAUGAGAGCCUAUGACCUAAUCGAGUCCCGGUUCCGGUCCUCUAUGGACAGUUAGAUACCUUCUGUGAUUUUAUUAUAUAUUUUUCACAUACUUUCGGGGGUGAGAAAAUGAGUAGAUUUUAUCUGUUUGAUUGAGAAUGCUUGGCUGGCUUGGUUUGGCAUUG
Syzygium oleosum is the source of this 2675-nucleotide long non-coding RNA. RefSeq lists it as uncharacterized. The transcript is spliced from 2 exons. Lineage: Eukaryota; Viridiplantae; Streptophyta; Magnoliopsida; Myrtales; Myrtaceae. The record is from RefSeq and is a predicted model, not a curated record.